CUCACAGACACACAUAUACAAAGAAACACACACAGAUAAAUACUCCCAGACACACACAUACACAGUCAGAAACACACAUAGGCAAAUACUCCCAGACACACACAUACAAAGAAACACAGACAGAUAAAUACUCCCAGACACACACGCACAGUUACAUAGUCCCAGACACACACAUACACAGAAACACACACAGCUACAUACUCUCAGACACACACAGAUACAUACUCCCAGAUACA
Pelobates cultripes (western spadefoot toad) is the source of this 236-nucleotide non-coding RNA. The record is from the annotation of a GenBank genome assembly. Lineage: Eukaryota; Metazoa; Chordata; Amphibia; Anura; Pelobatidae.